UCAGGACGAACGCUGGCGGCGUGCUUAACACAUGCAAGUCAAGGAGAACAGAUUUCUUCGGAGGUCUUAGUAAACUGGCGAACGGGUGAGUAACACGUAGGUAACCUGCCCUUGAAUCUGGGAUAACCUUGCUAAAGCGGGGCUAAUACCGGUUAUAAUCCUUUUUUCGUAUGUUAGAGGGAUGAAAGUUGCCUUUUGGUAACGUUCAAGGAUGGACCUGCGUCCCAUUAGCUAGUUGGUGAGGUAACGGCUCACCAAGGCAACGAUGGGUAGCCGGCCUGAGAGGGUGACCGGCCACACUGGGACUGAGAUACGGCCCAGACUCCUACGGGAGGCAGCAGUGAGGAAUAUUGCGCAAUGGCCGAAAGGCUGACGCAGCAACGCCGCGUGGGUGAUGACGCUCCAAGGAGUGUAAAGCCCUGUUAGGAGGGAAGAACGACAUUGGCGUGAAUAAUGUCAAUGCAUGACGGUACCUCCAGAGAAAGCCCCGGCUAACUCCGUGCCAGCAGCCGCGGUAAUACGGGGGGGGCAAGCGUUGUCCGGAAUUAUUGGGCGUAAAGGGCGCGUAGGCGGAAUAAUAAGUCAGAGGUGAAAACCAUGGGCUUAACUUAUGGCUUGCCUUUGAAACUGUUAUUCUUGAGUGCGGAAGAGGGAAGUGGAAUUCCUGGUGUAGCGGUGAAAUGCGUAGAUAUCAGGAAGAACACCGGUAGCGAAGGCGGCUUCCUGGUCCGUAACUGACGCUGAGGCGCGAAAGCGUGGGGAGCAAACAGGAUUAGAUACCCUGGUAGUCCACGCCGUAAACGAUGGGCACUAGGUGUUGGUUCACGAUGAGUGGAUCAGUGCCGAAGCUAACGCAUUAAGUGCCCCGUCUGGGGAGUACGA
RNAcentral lists this ribosomal RNA (882 nucleotides) under uncultured organism. RNAcentral's name for it is "bacterial SSU rRNA". It matches the Rfam family "Bacterial small subunit ribosomal RNA", at positions 24 to 885 of the family's 1533-position model. The record is from RNAcentral.